GGAACCCGAAAGCCUGUCUCAGUUCGGAUUGGAGUCUGCAACCCGACUCCAUGAAGCUGGAUUCGCUAGUAAUCGCGCAUCAGCCACGGCGCGGUGAAUACGUUCCCGGGCCUUGUACACACCGCCCGUCAAGCCAUGGAAGCCGGGGGUGCCUGAAGUGUGCUGCCGCAAGGAGCGCCCUAGGGUAAAACCGGUGACUGGGGCUAAGUCGUAACAAGGUAGC
Molecule: ribosomal RNA, 223 nt
Filed under: uncultured bacterium
Lineage: Bacteria
Description: partial 16S ribosomal RNA
Rfam family: Bacterial small subunit ribosomal RNA
Source: RNAcentral